Molecule: long non-coding RNA, 4420 nt
Filed under: Pomacea canaliculata
Lineage: Eukaryota; Metazoa; Mollusca; Gastropoda; Architaenioglossa; Ampullariidae
Description: uncharacterized LOC112556828
Source: RNAcentral
GUGUUGGUCUAGUGUUACCCAAACUAAACGACCUAGGUGAUUACUGUUGAUAGCAGAUAUGAGCACGCGAUUCAGUGAAAACAAGUCUAAGAUUCGUUUCACUCUGGAACUGAAAGUUUGGUUAUUGAGGAGCCCAUUUCAAGCGCUCAGCAUUUACUGAGAGGAUUUUAGGCAAUCUUUUCCACAUCUUUACUAGAUUGCCAGUAAUGUUUCAGUAAGAAAAGAAAGACUAUACUUUUGAGUUUUCUGUUCUUGAGAAAAGUAAUUUUACACAUUAAUAGCUAAAGACUUUGUUAGGACAAGAAGAGAACUGCAGAAAAUACCCGCUUUUUUUCCUUAUAAAAUUACAUUAGUUGAAGAACAGUUUCAACAAUUUUUUUUUUCGGCCAUAGAUCAAUAGUUUUACUCUUUCUGAAAGCCCCACUUUGCCAGGUCACAAAUGGAAGUAGUAGCUUCAGGCGUGUCACCUCGAGAUUCCCCUGAAGAAGAGGAAGAGGUCAAGGUUGAGGAGGAGGUAUUGCCAGAUGGUACAAUCCAUCAAAAAGUUGUUCAUGUUUGGCACACAGGAUCACGCAGUACUGAUGUAGGAACAUUUAACGAUGCCUGCAGUACACGCUCUGAAAUUUUGGAGACUUUUGAGCAACCACCACAUGCCCUGGAGAAUUCGGAGGAUAUUGAGGAAGUCAUGCCAGAUGGGCGGAAGCGAAAACGUUCAAUCAAAAUGAAUUGUCUGGUCCAUGCCAUCUCCGCCCGUCACGAGGCAAUGGAUAACAACCAGGUAACAUCUGUGGAGAGUUAUGAUCUGGAGGAAGUAGUUCCAGGCACAGUGACAGCAUUUGAAAAGGGCUUGGAUUCUGAUUACGAAGAAGAGUUGGAACGCAAAAAGGGAGGAGAGGGAAACAAACACAAAUCAAGUUCCGAAAAAUAAAACAAAGAAAAUAAAGAAAAUCCCUCAUAUGUGAAAAAGUAAUCUUUAUAGCAAAUUACUGCAAAGUAUUUUUCUUGCUUGUGCUUUAAUGCUGACACUUUUAGGCAUUUGUGCAUGGUAGAAUUCUUGAACCAGUAUAAAGAGUAAUCGCUUUCAUACCUCUGGUCCAUUCUUUGGAGCAUCUCCACCACAGAGACAUGUUAAGCUUCAUUAAUAGGACUUUUGUCACCAGGAGAUGCAUCAUUAAUGGAUUAAACAUUAAUUUGUGUCUCUAGUUUCAGCAGAAGCAUAACAAACAUAUUUACACCAUUACACUAUGUUGCUUUUUCACAUUACAGUUCUGAAGACAGUGGUUAUUAUUGAAUCAGACAAUGCUGGCUUUGUUACAUCAGCUCUUUAAACCAUGAACAUUUCUGUUAUUUGUUCUUUGAAGUUUCAUGAUGUAAAUUUUAUGUCGAUGAAGUGACUUUCUUGGGGUGCAAAAACUGCGUUGUUAAAAUAAUUGUUACAAUGUUUUGGGAGCAAAGAAUGGGAAAGAACUUGGCAGACAGAAGUUUAAAAUACCAUCCUUUGUAGUAAUCAGUCUCAUGCAGUGUGCCACUUGACAUACUUGUGAAACAAUUUGAUCCCAGUGUUUUAUGUUGCCAUCAUCAAUCACUGUGCCUUUCAAGAAAUAAUGUAACGUGCUUGUACUUUUCUUCAGGUUGUUAACUACCAUUUUUUCACUGUAGUGACUAGAGUGUUAAGACAAAGAAGCCAGCCUUACAUUUAUUUUAAGAAAAUCUUCUCAUAAAAUAAGUGGGAUGAAUAAUUUUAAUUCAGUAUGAUGCACUUGUGACUUAUAUAAGCAAUGCUUAGUAAAAAAUGCAGUGAGAAGAGAUGAUCUAAAGCUAAAUCUUGAAAGCUCUACCACCAAAUGAGAUGUACUGGGAGGUAGUGAAAAGACAGAAAAGACUUAGAACAAAUUGGAAAAAGGCUUGGGUGAAAAGAAAAGAACAGAGGUUCAUAAAUUUGGCUACAUAAUGUGGAAAGUCUGAUGACAGGUGAAAUUACAGAAAAAAGUUUGAUAUUUCUUUGUGUUGCCAGGAAAUUUAGUAAGGAUUUUUAUUAUGACAAAACUCACAAUUCUUUAUUUUGAACUCAUGAGACAUCUACACCCAGCUCUCUCUCUCUCUCUCUGUUUUCUUUAUUUCAAGUGUUGUAAGUUACGCUUUAAAAGUUUUCUGAUUAUGUUUGCACUUUAUUCAUUCCAAUGACUCUUAUUACAACAUGACUGACAAAGAGCACUUUGUCAGGUGUGUUUAUUAUUUGAGGAAUAGCUUAAAGUUCUCAUGUUCAUAUCCCUUAUUUCUUAAAAUGUUUAGUAGCAGCAAGAAUAAUUUUGAAUGACAAAUUGAUGAGAGUAAAAUUAUUAUCUUACAUCAUAAGAUAAAUCAAUGCGAAUAUACUGGCCCUAUGAUAAUUAUAACCAAUGAAAGAACUCCUUAUACACUCCAAUCAAAGAGAUAUGGUCAGAAUUAUAAUGGUUUAGGCAUGAAAGUGGAUCAGCCAUGUGCUUAGAUGAGAGUGAAAACAGCACUUUUCAAAACACCUGAAGCAAAAGGAAGACCAAAGACAGCUUGGUGCCAAACAGCUAAAGCAGAGAUAGGAGUUGUGAACAUGUAAAGCACCUUAAGAGCGCCUAAGGCAGGCAAGCAUUGAGCCCUACAUGCCAAGAUGUAUAAGGAACGAAUGUAUGGAUAAAUGCAGAAGUAAAUUUGACAGCAUUUUGUUUUGCAUCAAAAGUUAAAUCAGAAGCAUUAUCAGCUAUGUUAUGAUUUUGUUUUAGUGUGCCACAUAUAUUUUGUUAUUGUACUUGGAACAUCAAUCUGUAUAAUGUAGUGUGUGUGUUUUCAAGAAGCCAGUAGCUGCAGAUUGAUUUUUGAAACAAAAUUAAGUUUUCAUGAAACUUCGAGAUAAAAGAUGCACUUGUCAGUUGAAAUGCUGGAGCAUAAUGAUUUUGCUCAGUGACAUAUUUUGGGCUUUUAAAAACUGUGAUACAGCCUGAAAAUGUGCUUGCAGCUACACAAGUCAAUGCAAUUUAGGUACCCACCAAAACUGUUGUGUUUGAAAGCAUGAAAACAGUAAGUUGCAUAACUUGAAUUUUUUUCCCCAAAAAAUAAAUGACGACAUCCAAGUAGAGUUCUUUGGGAAGGAGGUUAUUGUGUGUGUUGGGGUUGGGGUGGGGGAUAUUGGGGGAACUGUGACAGUUCUGCAUUGUUUAGCCUUUUCAUCUAGAUGUAAUACCCAGGAUAUGUUCAGGGGCUAGAAGGCUAUUCUUUAGCCCUUUUUAGGGUCUGAGGGAGUAUUUUAUAUUAGAAACUUCUCCAGAAGUAAGAAUACAAUGUAGUUAAGCUGUUGUAUAUUUAUUUAGAUUGCUGAUCACUGUUUCUUGAAGACUGAUAGAACAGCUGCAAUAGUGAAUAUAUUAUUCAUUUCAGGAGCAUAAAAUAAGAGAAGCACUUUUUUUGCAGGGAGGGGAUUAGAGGUAAGGGACAGGUGGUUGGAGCUCUGCAUAUGUUCGGAACUGCAUUAAGUACAGUCAGUAGCAUUUUGUGCCAUAUUUUAAAUUGAAUUUUUUUUACAUUUUCAUUACUUUUUUUUUUUGGAAUAUGCUCACCUCCACUUGUUUUCUUUUAGCUGCUAGUACCACAGGAAUAAUUGGGAGUGGCAGGGGUGGAUUUUUGAGAUGGCGAGAAACAUUUGUAUACGCUGCUGAUCUCUUCCUCUAGUAAAAGAGGAGUCUUGUCUUUAAUGGCUUGGGCACUUUACAAGUUGAGAUGAAUUUUUGCUUGUUUACAGUUGACUGAACUUAGAGGAGAGUCAUGACAGUUUAUUGUUUGUUGUAUGGCAGAAGUGUAUUUAUUAAAUUAUUACUUAAAAGUUUAAUCUAGUAUUAAACAAUCAAGAGCACAGAAGAUGUGUACAUCAGAGAUUAGUAAUUUCUGAAAAGUGUGCAGUAACGAGACAAACAUUGCUUAUUUACACAUGUAUAUGGAAUCUGUGGACAAGAAUAACCUUUAUAGUCUGGUGUAUCUAUGAUCUACUAUUUUAGGAUAUAUUUGGUUUUCAGCUUUAUGUAAAGCUAACUCGGAUACCUCGGAAAAGGAUAUGAAUAGUCAUAACAUUUAUUUUUAUAUGCUUAUUUGAAUGACAAUCUCCUUGUCAGUGUGUGUGUGCAUGCGCAAAAGAGCGCAUAGAAAUACAUUCCUCAAGAUCAAUAUGCUUGUGCUUGCUUUUAAAGUAUCUGUCCAUUCAAAUAGCUAAAAUGUUUUUAUUUACAGCUGUUUUAAGCAAAAUCACAAUUUUGGUUUACUUUUUGGCAGUAAUUGCUUACAAGACAUUCCAGUUGCUUUGUUUUACUCUUUCAUUUAUUUAGUCUAGAACAUAUUUGUGCUUUUUUGAAGUACAGUGAUGUCUGGACAUUAAAGUUUGAGAUUUGUUACCAUUAAA